UGUGGAGCUGAACAAAAUUUGUUUUGUAAUUUUUAAAUUUUUCUACACAUUUAUCAAAUUUCAGCUGAUUUAAAAAACAAAAGAAAAGUAAACUAAUAGGAUAAACACUUUACAUCUAGGCCUCUAUACUUUUGUCAUUCUCAACAUAUUGUGAUCUGUAUUGUCAAUAAUCAAAUAAUCAGAAGAUUUUGCAUUGGAAACCCUAAAAAAGUUUAUAUUCCUUUUUUCUCUUUCCAACGCUGACGGGCCGAUUCGGAGCCAAGGCUGGCCGAUUCCGAAACUUGGCAGACAGAAACAAGGUGGCAGAUUGAAAUUUUGUUUCUUUAUAGAUAAAGUAUAGAAUUGAUAUUGUUCGUCCA
This 359-nucleotide long non-coding RNA is filed under the name Sorghum bicolor (sorghum). RNAcentral's name for it is "long non-coding RNA (SBIC_LNC009701)". Lineage: Eukaryota; Viridiplantae; Streptophyta; Magnoliopsida; Poales; Poaceae. The record is from RNAcentral.